GCACAUAGAAUCUGCUGCCCACCCCCCCCUUCUCUUCCUUUUUCUUCAUCCCGUACUUCUUUAUUAACGUUUUCGCAGUAAAAAUGCAACCGCCUUUUUCUUGGUAGUUGCUGCGGAGCACAAGCGCGUUUGCGUUCUGCGAAAAUAAGGAGCUUCUGCGAAGUGAAAACCGCCACAACCCCCGCCCGGUUUUGGUGGGGUUUCUUCGAUCAAAUAAAACCGAAACCCCGUGGGGACGGAUGCUGAAAUCCCCGAGCUCUCCCUUGCGCCCUGGCUGCUGCCGGGGCCGGGGGUUGUGUGGGGGGGGUGAUGUCCCCGGGACCCCCAGGAGCUCCCACCGCUGGGGUUUGUCCGGCAAGAGGGUCCCCAAAUCAGGGGGGUCUUCACCCCAACCUGAUGCACUGCUCGUGCGCCUACGACGCAGGGAAAUUAGUGGGAAUUCAUGGAUGCUCAGCUUUCGGAGGAGCUUCCUGAGCUGUUUAAAGUCUCCAGGAAAGCAGGAUUUUAAAACAUAUAUAGGGGAACAUUCAAGCCAGGCCCUCAGGAGGUGGCUGGGUGAUGGGAACCACGACUUUACCGCGACUUUAACCCCCUCCCUUAAUAAUACAUAAUCACCGAAACCGGUUAUUGCCUUUGCCAUCCGCCUCUGCCCGGAACUGGACAAAUCCACGGGUGCAAGGGGUGCACCGGUGCGAGUUUUGCACAAACAGCGCCCGGAACCGAACCAACCGAAGGCAAAUAAUUAAACAAAUGAUGAAUAGCGGGACCACGGCUAAGUGUAUUUUGCUGUUUGUUUUCAUAAGCUGUGGAUGUAGCUGUUGUGAUGACGUGAGGCAGUAGACUCACAGGCAGGCUUAAUUCAAUUCCACCUAUUUUAAUUUAAAAAAUUAAUACAUAUAAAAAUCAUAAUUGAAAAUAUUCCAUUCAUUACACUUUCCCUUGGAUUUUUUUUUUUUUUUGGCCAAUUUCUUUUGCCUUUAAUAAUAAAUAACAAUAGUAUUGUCCCCUCCUUGCUUUUAAACCUCCAGCAGGAGGGAAGAAGGUCCUGGCCAACGGACGCAGAGGAAAAGCCGAGAUGGAAGAGAAGGGAAACAAACUGCCGAAAGUAAAAAAAUAUCGUUUUCCUUCAACCGCACUCGAUUACGGUGCUCUGAGAUGGAAUUGCAGGCACAGAGGCCAAGCCAGAAAGCAUUACAAGUUUUUCAUUUAACUUUCUUCCUUUAAAUUUAAAACUUUACGUAACUUUAUGACUGAGAAACUGUCCGAGAGCUCCGUGCAGCAGCGUCGGCUCCGGCACAUGCGAAAUCCCGGUGUGAGGUUUGCAGGCUUGCCGGUAGUAGAAGAUAUUUAACAUUAUUUGUUGAACGGAGUCCUUGAUAAAUUAAGGUUUUUCUUUUUGUCUUGCAAAUUAUUCUCAAUGUGUUCUUGAUUUUUGUGACAGUCAACAAACUGAGACAGUUUUCAAACUAGGGUUUGUCCGCACACACAACCACCGACAGGAACUCGCGGGCUGGUUUGCGAGAGCCGCCGCCGUCCCCAGAACGGGCAAUAAACCCCGCGGUGCCACAGCCCAGCCCCGUCACCGAGUCACCGACCUCCUACCCCCCUUUUCCAUCAUUCAGCUGUGUUUGCCGGCCGUGGAGGCAAGACAUUUUUUUUGGUAUUCAUUUUCUACUACUCUUCCUGCUUGCAUUUUAUUGUCAAUAUAAACUGCAGGGGAAAAUAAUCCCAGCGCUGUCUUUUGAAUAUUUAUUUCCCACAACUCGGUGGAGUACAGCUUCACUCCCUCUCUCGUGUCUAUCACCUGCAUUAGAACAAUUAGAAGAUAAUACAUUUUUCAGUCCUCUUACCUCCAAACUCCAGCUGCCCGGCCAGGAUAAUACAAACCACAUUGAGCUGGGCCAGGCAGGGCCGCGGUCGGGAUGGCUGCGUGUCUGCAAGCGGCCUCAGAGCCGCGGCUGGUCUUUCAGACGGGGAAACGAUCUCUCCGAGGCAACUGGGAUUCAUCAUCUACAGCUAAUUGAGCCCCGGUGAGCAGGAGGGUUCCCAUCUGCCGGCUUUCUCCGUCGGGCAGAGAGCGCUGGCAGUAUCUCCUGAUCCCGUCUCCGGAUGGGAUGCUCCUGCUCUGAGCAUCGCUCCCGCCCCGAGAUGCUGGGAGGAUGGCAGCGGCUCUCGUGCAGCUCCCCGCCCCGCGGCUCCGCUCUGCCCGAGCGGUGGGCAAUGCCAGCGCACGUGGCGGUGAAGAACCUCCUUAGGAGGUCAACCGACGGAGAGACUUCAACACCAGCUGUCCACCGCCGUAAGCUGGCCUUUUCUUCCCCAGACCUGCCAUUUUUGCCAUGAAAUUAAUUCGGGGCGUUCCUGAGAGCAAGGACGGGCUGAACCAUGGCAUCACCUCCCGCUUCGGACAUCGCAGCGUCAGCACGGAGGUGCCGCAGCCCAACGGGGGACGGAGAACGCACGUUAUCGCACUGCGCUUGGGUAUAAGAGCAGGGGUUUUUCAAAGUUCAUUAGGGGGAAAAUAAGAUGGAGACUGAAAUUAAAGCUUUGCUGUGGGACUGGACAUUCGAGAAUGUAAGGGAAAACAAUCUCCUAAGCGCUGUUCUAAGCUACGACGGGUGUUUUCUGCCAAGAUCUACUUAGUCUUCGGGAGUUUCUGUUUAAAAGAUUGUAUUUUAGAAAAAGAAGUAUUUGUUAAUCCGUCAAUAAGUAAUUAGCUAAUAAUUCGUAUGGAGUGGUAGUUGCAUUUACAAAAAUUAAAGUUGAAUAUUACAAAUUCCAGUUCCCAUGGAACCCAAACCGGCGUUAUUUCAGCCCACAGAAGGGUUAUUGAGCUGCCAGCCACAUCCACUCCACUCGCAGCCUGCGCAUUAGCCAGAGCGUUUAGAAACUGGUUUAUUAUAGCUUUAACGAACCUGCCAUCCCGUUCCUGCGCUGACAGUGGCAGCUGUUUGUGGCACACUGUAUCAUCCAUAAGUUUAAUUUUAUUUUUUUCUUCCAAGAGAAUGAUAUUAUUUGCACAUUGGUAUAUUAGAUAUUAGCUUGCAUUUCGCCAGUGUCAGGUUUAUCCAGAUUAGAUUUGAGGCAGCGCGUACAUUUACAUUUACAACGUGACGAGCAAAUAGGCUGGGAUCUAAAAAAAAAUAAUAGAUGAUUUAUUGACUAGUAACGGCAAGGUUGGGAAACUGAAAAAAAAAAAUGCAAACUGGACUGCGAGAGCUGGAAUAAAAAGUUAGUAGCACGUGCAAAGGUGGUUAAAUCCAUCCUAAAGGACAUUUUUACAGGAGAGGAAAGAUUUUGAAAGGGAAGAGGCGAGGGCAGAUGUGGUUGGUGCCACCAAGGCUGGGGAGGGGAGAGCACGCGGGGACGAGGGACCGGCCUGGGCUCCGCUGUUUGCUGGCUCUGGCUGCGUCUCUGCAAGAGAAGAGGAGUUUCACCACCCGAAGAGGUUGCUCAGAGCGCAGCCCGCGUUGCGUACACCCAGCGGGGGAAAGAGAUGCGCCCACAGCCAUCUGCAGCCCCGAGUACGCGUCGUCUGACGAACCGCCGGUGGAGCGACGGCCGAGGCUGUGUUACGGAGUCAGGGCUUGUUUAACGGUACACCACGACGCGGGGCUGCAUCUGUCUGAUUAGAAACUGCAGGGUUGGAAACCGCUUUUUUGGUUUUUUUUUUUUUUCCCAAAUGCUAAAAAAAAAAAAUUAAAAUAUUUUCUUGCUAACAAUUUGUGAAGCAGAGGACAAACAAUCCUUUGAGUUUAUCCGUUAGAACUGAAAAUGUCCUAGCACCAAAUUUAUAAUUGUGGCUUUAUAUAAAUCUAUGACAUAUCAGGUGGAGAUAUAAAAGAAUUAGAUGCAUAAUUGAGGGCAGGUGAUAUUAAAAUAUCACCCCUAAGCCACAAGUCAGGUUUGGUUUGCUUUGUUGGGGUUUUGUUUUGUUUUGUUUUGUUAAAUGCAGAGUAAAUCUUGGCAAAAUCGAGAGCAGCAUGAACACAAUUAAAUCUCCUGAAGUCUGCCCCUAAAUUGGUCAGGAAAGCCCGUGUUUAGAAUUUACCUGUGUGCUUUAACAGGUUAAUGGACAGUAUUAAAAGAUCAUUUUCAAGUUAAGCAAACAUUUCUGGCAUAUUGUAUAACACUUGCUUUAAAAUUAAGUUAGUUAUUCUGAACUCUAUGCCAAAUGAUUAUUUGCUCGAUUUUCUGAUGACGCUAAUACGUGACAUACCAUCACAUAAUUUGGUAAAGACAAUAAGAUUACAAAGCCCGAGAAGGGUCUGAGUCAGUCUUUGACAGAUUAAAGCUCUCCAAGUCCCCUGAAAACCCUUCUCUGACAUAUUAAUUUGACCUAAACCCUCAAAAUGUUCCUGAUUAUAUCAUCUCAAUUGGGCUUUGUUUUUGUUUUAUUUUUCAUUGUAGGAAA
This is a long non-coding RNA of Grus americana (Whooping crane), 4414 nucleotides long. RefSeq lists it as uncharacterized. The record is from RefSeq and is a predicted model, not a curated record. NCBI's taxonomy places the organism in Eukaryota, Metazoa, Chordata, Aves, Gruiformes, Gruidae. The transcript is spliced from 3 exons.